UACGAAGGGGGCUAGCGUUGUUCGGAUUUACUGGGCGUAAAGCGCACGUAGGCGGGUCGUUAAGUCGGGGUGAAAUCCUGGAGCUCAACUCCAGAACUGCCUUCGAUACUGGCGACCUUAGAGUCCGGAAGAGGUGAGUGGAACUCCUAGUGUAGAGGUGGAAUUCGUAGAUAUUAGGAAGAACACAGUGGCGAAGGCGGCUCACUGGUCCGGUACUGACGCUGAGGUGCGAAAGCGUGGGAGCAACAGGGAGUUAGAU
RNAcentral lists this ribosomal RNA (259 nucleotides) under uncultured bacterium. RNAcentral describes it as "partial 16S ribosomal RNA". It matches the Rfam family "Bacterial small subunit ribosomal RNA", at positions 524 to 783 of the family's 1533-position model. The record is from RNAcentral.